Molecule: long non-coding RNA, 139 nt
Organism: Perognathus longimembris pacificus (Pacific pocket mouse)
Lineage: Eukaryota; Metazoa; Chordata; Mammalia; Rodentia; Heteromyidae
Exons: 3
Source: RefSeq, a predicted model, not a curated record
UUCCCUUCCUGUAGUUGUCUCUGUGCUAACAUUGUAUCUCAUCUGCGUUACCCUGGAUACUGUAUAUACUGGUAUUAGAACUAGGGAAGGGAAAGGGAAUAUCAAAACUGAGAGACAAAGGAUAAAAAGGCAAAUGACU